GACGAACGCUGGCGGCGUGCUUAACACAUGCAAGUCGAACGGUGAAGCGCCUUCCUUUUUGGUGUGUGUGUAUGAGUGGCGAACUGGUGAGUAACACGUUAGUAACCUUCCCCCUUCUUCUUGAUAACCGCAUGCAAGUGUGACUAAUACUUGAUAUUCUGGUUCUGUCGCAUCAUUGGUCUGGGAAAGAUUUUGUUUCGGUUUUGGAUGGGCUCGCGCCCUAUCAGCUUGUUGGUGGGGUGAUGGCCUACCAAGGCGGUGACGAGUAGCCGGCCUGAGAGGGUGGACGGCAACAGAGGGGAGGAGAGGCGGAGAAGACUACGAGAGGAGGCAGUAGGGAGGAAUAUGGAAUGAGGGGAGGAAGGCUGAAGCAGCGACGCGGGGGGAAGGAUGGUGGUCGUAGGGUAAAGAACCGUUAUGGGGAAAGAAGAAGGGCGGAAGAGAUUGUGGGUGGGUUGACGGUAGCUAAAGAAGAAGCGACGGCUAACUACGUG
This 494-nucleotide ribosomal RNA is filed under the name uncultured bacterium. RNAcentral's name for it is "partial 16S ribosomal RNA". It matches the Rfam family "Bacterial small subunit ribosomal RNA", at positions 28 to 507 of the family's 1533-position model. The record is from RNAcentral.